RNAcentral lists this ribosomal RNA (341 nucleotides) under uncultured soil bacterium. RNAcentral describes it as "bacterial SSU rRNA". It matches the Rfam family "Bacterial small subunit ribosomal RNA", at positions 26 to 371 of the family's 1533-position model. The record is from RNAcentral.
AGAUUGAACGCUGGCGGCAUGCCUUACACAUGCAAGUCGAACGGCAGCACGGGGGCAACCCUGGUGGCGAGUGGCGAACGGGUGAGUAACAUAUCGGAACGUGCCCUGGAGUGGGGGAUAACUAGUCGAAAGACUAGCUAAUACCGCAUACGAUCUACGGAUGAAAGUGGGGGAUCGCAAGACCUCAUGCUCGUGGAGCGGCCGAUAUCUGAUUAGCUAGUUGGUGGGGUAAAGGCCUACCAAGGCAUCGAUCAGUAGCUGGUCUGAGAGGACGACCAGCCACACUGGGACUGAGACACGGCCCAGACUCCUACGGAGCAGCAGUGGGGAAUUUUGGACAA